CAAGCUCCCAUAACCUUCCACAGAAUAGAGGGAAGCAUUAGCUCUGGGCAGCUAAGAAUACAGCUUUUAAUUAUAUCUUCCCUGUGUUUACAUGAACUUUAGUUUGCAUUUCAGAAGCCUUAUGGAAGGAUUCCUGUGGCUGACCCAGGAGUAGUGGGGAAUUUCUCCAUCAAAAUUAUGCAGGAUGAGACAAAGCUAGAGAAAUUGUACUCUUCAAGAGGAAAAGAGAUGGCCCUGCCAGCAGAACCAAGUGAAAUCAACUCUCACCUCAAAUCUCAAGUCAGAACACCAAAAUGACUACUUUGUAUCUCAAACAUUGAGGUGCUAAAAAUGUAACAUCAGCCACUUAUCAUUGCUUAAUGUUUGUCAGAGACUAAAAUGGCUUUAUCAGUUCAUUCUCAUAACAUAAGAACAAUGUGUGUGUAGAAAUGAAAACCUCGGGGGAGGAGCCAAGAUGGCGGAGGAGUAGGACGGGGAGAACACUUUCUCCCCCACAAAUUCAUCAAAAGAGCAUUUAAACGUCGAGUAAACUCCACAAAA
Molecule: long non-coding RNA, 540 nt
Organism: Bubalus bubalis (water buffalo)
Lineage: Eukaryota; Metazoa; Chordata; Mammalia; Artiodactyla; Bovidae
Exons: 3
Source: RefSeq, a predicted model, not a curated record